This 473-nucleotide ribosomal RNA is filed under the name uncultured bacterium. RNAcentral describes it as "bacterial SSU rRNA". It matches the Rfam family "Bacterial small subunit ribosomal RNA", at positions 335 to 800 of the family's 1533-position model. The record is from RNAcentral.
ACUCCUACGGGAGGCAGCAGUAGGGAAUUUUCCGCAAUGGACGAAAGUCUGACGGAGCAAUGCCGCGUGAGUGAUGAAGGUUUUCGAAUCGUAAAGCUCUGUUGUAAGGGAAGAAUAGCAAGAAUAGGAAAUGAUUCUUGUCUGACGGUACCUUACCAGAAAAGCCACGGCUAACUACGUGCCAGCAGCCGCGGUAAUACGGAGGGUGCGAGCGUUAAUCGGAAUUACUGGGCGUAAAGCGCGUGUAGGUGGCUUGUUAAGCCAGAUGUGAAAGCCCGGGGCUCAACCUCGGAAUUGCAUUUGAAACUGGCAGACUAGAGUACUGUAGAGGGGGGUAGAAUUUCAGGUGUAGCGGUGAAAUGCGUAGAGAUCUGAAGGAAUACCGGUGGCGAAGGCGGCCCCCUGGACAGAUACUGACACUCAGAUGCGAAAAGCGUGGGAGCAAACAGGAUUAGAUACCCUGGUAGGCUCUG